Oryza brachyantha (malo sina) is the source of this 1954-nucleotide long non-coding RNA. RefSeq lists it as uncharacterized. The record is from RefSeq and is a predicted model, not a curated record. NCBI's taxonomy places the organism in Eukaryota, Viridiplantae, Streptophyta, Magnoliopsida, Poales, Poaceae. The transcript is spliced from 6 exons.
AGGCUCCCACGUUUAGUGCAGUUUGCCUCUACUGUCCAUCAUGAAAUGCGGCGAACAAAAUUCGUCCAUCUCUCUAAACAGUAGUGAAGGUGGAGCACAUGACGUGAAGAAAACACGACAGGUCAAUCAAAAUACUGUGGAUGGUGAUAUGACUGCGGACUGACCAUUAAAGAGAGAGACCUACUGAAUGUAAACAUUUGUCAGAUGAGAGGCAACCAUAUGAAAAUGAAAAUACCAACGUCGAUCUGCCAAACAUAGGUAUAGAAUGUCAUUUGAGCAUUAUUACUCGACAGCCAGAGCUAUAUACCCACGCAUGGGAAAACCUCCAUGUUACAACUUGGCGGAUCACCGAACAAUCUAAAAAUCCAAUGCAAGAGGAUAGUUCUUCAUGUGGUCUAUUCAUGCUUAAGUACAUGAAAUAUUGGACAGGAGAUACACUUUCUCGCUCUCUUACACAGGUGAAUUUUUUUUUUUAAGUGAACAAAAGAGUAUAACAUGUUAAAUUCGUGUUGUUUAGUUAGUAAAUGUAACUUUAUUACUGCACAAGGAGAUGUUGAACUUUUCAGGGAUAAGCUACCAGGCAUACUAUUAUGUUGGAAAACAAAUGAGGCUAGAGUGACGUCCAGUGGUGGUCAAGAUGACGAUACCAUAGAGAAUUCAGAUGAUGUCAUAAUGUUGGAUAGUAGAAUGGAAAUUCCCUCUCAUAUCAACAAUAGGGAAUCCAAAUUAUCUGACUCUGUAUCUACUGAAGAGAAAUAUUAUUCACUUCUGUCUGUUAUCACUAUGAUGGGUUUAAAUGAUUUGAUAGGUGGUAUUUCCAACUACAUCAAAGGACAGAGCUGUGUUAAAUUGUUGGAGUAAGUUAGUAUUUUUUAAGUAUGGGUAUACAUGAGUCUGCAUUGAUUAUUUUAAUAUUUUCUUAUUGAUUCCCAGGAAAGUAUGGGUACAAAAUUCGAAUCUGUAUUUUAUUAGCUUGAGUCUUACCAAGCUUCAAUUAGUAUUAAACGAGGAUAAACCAAUGGAUCGUGAUUGCUUCAACAUGUUCGUACGGAAGUUUAUGUAGGAUGACAUUCAGAUGAUGAAGAAAACCAAUGGAGUAAUAUCAAAGCAUUGUCUGGUCUUGCAAUUUUGGAAUAGUGUUGGAUUUGGUCGACACCCAAAAUUUCAUCAAAAUCUUGAUAUUGUUCAACUGGCAAAGACAGUUUGUAGUUGGUCCAAAACUGACUACAACAUUGCAAGAUGCAAAUCGGUAUGAUUGAUAUAUACUUUUCUCGUAUUUGUGUAUGUUUGUAUCUAUUUUAAUGGAUAACCUUUUGCAGAUUCUCAUACCAAUAGAAUAGUGUGGAACCUUUAUUCUUGUUAUAUUGGAUCAAAAUACAAGAAAACUCUAUAUACUAAAUCCUAAUCCUCUUAAUCCCAUUUACAAAAAUAACCCGAAUGUAAGAUAUGUCAAAAAAAUUAUUAUGCCUUGCCGAGCACUUCAGAAAAGCCAUGCGCAUAGAAUGUCCUAGAUCUAUAUGGGUUGAAGAUAUAAACCUUUGGAGUCAAAUAAAUGUUCCAAAUGUGCCAAUUCACAGCAGGUAUGUUUUAUUCCAAAAUUUCACAUGUGAACCGCGCAAUUUAUUUUUUUUAUAAAUCAACAGUAAGUAACUAUUGAAUCUUAUCAGUGAACUAUCUGGUUAUCUUGUUCUUCUUUUUAUGCGUGCAUGCAGAAAUGAUGAACUACAAUUGUUUGCUUUCAAGGAUGGCUAUGAGCUGAGGAGACAUUCAUUGAUACAUCUAUUGACAUGUCAAGAGAAUAAGUGUGAAAGCAACAUAGCUAUUGCCGCACGUGAUAUCAUUAAGUGUAUUAUUAAUGCUAAAUGAUAGAUUUAGCUAAAUUGUUACAUUGUAUUAGCCAUGGUGUUACCGAAUGGUUAUGUUUUGACUUUCUUUAUGCUAGCAACAUGACAGU